CCUACGUGAGGCAGCAGUGAGGAAUAUUGGUCAAUGGCCGGAAGGCUGAACCAGCCAUGCCGCGUGAAGGUCAGUGCCCUAUGGGCGUUAAACUUCUUUUGUGCGGGAGCAAUAAUGGUCACGUGUGGCCAGACGAGAGUACCGUACGAAUAAGCAUCGGCUAACCCCGUGCCAGCCGCCGCGGUAAUACGGGGGAUGCAAGCGUUAUCCGGAUUUAUUGGGUUUAAAGGGUGCGUAGGCUGUGAGGUAAGUCAGCGGUGAAAUGCCCCCGCUCAACGGGGUGAAGUGCCAUUGAAACUGCCUUGCUGGAAUGCGGAUGCCGUAGGAGGAAUGUGUGGUGUAGCGGUGAAAUGCAUAGAUAUCACACAGAACACCGAUUGCGAAGGCAUCUCACGAAUCCGCGAUUGACGCUGAUGCACGAAAGCGUGGGUAUCAAACAGGAUUAGAUACCCUGGUAGUC
RNAcentral lists this ribosomal RNA (460 nucleotides) under uncultured bacterium. RNAcentral describes it as "partial 16S ribosomal RNA". It matches the Rfam family "Bacterial small subunit ribosomal RNA", at positions 338 to 795 of the family's 1533-position model. The record is from RNAcentral.